Molecule: long non-coding RNA, 538 nt
Organism: Oncorhynchus tshawytscha (Chinook salmon)
Lineage: Eukaryota; Metazoa; Chordata; Actinopteri; Salmoniformes; Salmonidae
Source: Ensembl
AUUAGGUUCAACAGUGUGUUAGGCAUUAGGUUCAACAGUGUGUUAGGCAUUAGGUUCAACAGUGUGGUUAGGCAUUAGGUGCAACAGUGUGGUUAGGCAUUAGGUUCAACAGUGUGGUUAGGCAUUAGGUUCAACAGUGUGUUAGGCAUUAGGUUCAACAGUGUAGUUAGGCAUUAGGUUCAACAGUGUAGUUAGGCAUUCGGUUCAACAGUGUGGUUAGGCAUUAGGUUCAACAGUGUGGUUAGGCAUUAGGUUCAACAGUGUGGUUAGGCAUUAGGUUCAACAGUGUGUUAGGCAUUAGGUUCAACAGUGUGGUUAGGGUUAGGCAUUCGGUUCAACAGUGUGUUAGGCAUUAGGUUCAACAGUGUGUUAGGCAUUAGGUUCAACAGUGUGUUAGGCAUUAGGUUCAACAGUGUGUUAGGCAUUAGGUUCAACAGUGUGUUAGGCAUUAGGUUCAACAGUGUGGUUAGGCAUUAGGUUCAACAGUGUGUUAGGCAUUAGGUUCAACAGUGUAGUUAGGCAUUAGGUUCAACAGUGG